GACGAACGCUGGCGGCGUGCUUAACACAUGCAAGUCGUACGGUAAGGCCCUUUCGGGGGUACACGAGUGGCGAACGGGUGAGUAACACGUGAGUAACCUGCCCACAACUUUGGGAUAACGCUAGGAAACUGGUGCUAAUACUGGAUAUGUGCCCCUGCUGCAUGGUGGGGGUUGGAAAGCUCCGGCGGUUGUGGAUGGACUCGCGGCCUAUCAGCUUGUUGGUGGGGUAGUGGCCUACCAAGGCGGCGACGGGUAGCCGGCCUGAGAGGGUGACCGGCCUCAUUGGGACUGAGAUACGGCCCAGACUCCUACGGGAGGCAGCAGUGGGGAAUAUUGCACAAUGGGCGCAAGCCUGAUGCAGCAACGCCGCGUGCGGGAGGACGGCCUUCGGGUUGUAAACCGCUUUCAGCAGGGACGAAGCUUUUUGUGACGGUACCUGCAGAAGAAGCACCGGCUAACUACGUG
This 465-nucleotide ribosomal RNA is filed under the name uncultured bacterium. RNAcentral's name for it is "partial 16S ribosomal RNA". It matches the Rfam family "Bacterial small subunit ribosomal RNA", at positions 28 to 507 of the family's 1533-position model. The record is from RNAcentral.